CUGCUGCCUUCCGUAGGAGUUUGGGCCGUGUCUCAGUCCCAAUGUGGCCGUCCACCCUCUCAGGCCGGCUACUGAUCGUCGCCUUGGUGGGCCUUUACCCCGCCAACCAGCUAAUCAGACGCGGGUCCAUCUUGCACCACCGGAGUUUUUCACACUGUCCCAUGCAGGACCGUGCGCUUAUGCGGUAUUAGCACCUAUUUCUAAGUGUUAUCCCCCAGUGCAAGGCAGGUUACCCACGCGUUACUCACCCGUCCGCCA
Molecule: ribosomal RNA, 258 nt
Filed under: uncultured bacterium
Lineage: Bacteria
Description: partial 16S ribosomal RNA
Source: RNAcentral